ACGGGUGAGUAACACGUAUGCAAUCCACCUGUAACAGGGGGAUAACCCGGAGAAAUCCGGACUAAUACCCCAUAAUAUGGGCGCUCCGCAUGGAGAGUCCAUUAAAGAGAGCAAUCUUGGUUACAGACGAGCAUGCGCUCCAUUAGCCAGUUGGCGGGGUAACGGCCCACCAAGCCUUCGAUGGAUAGGGGUUCUGAGAGGAAGGUCCCCCACAUUGGAACUGAGACACGGUCCAA
RNAcentral lists this ribosomal RNA (236 nucleotides) under uncultured bacterium. RNAcentral describes it as "partial 16S ribosomal RNA". It matches the Rfam family "Bacterial small subunit ribosomal RNA", at positions 102 to 334 of the family's 1533-position model. The record is from RNAcentral.